This is a long non-coding RNA of Drosophila erecta, 732 nucleotides long. RefSeq lists it as uncharacterized. The record is from RefSeq and is a predicted model, not a curated record. NCBI's taxonomy places the organism in Eukaryota, Metazoa, Arthropoda, Insecta, Diptera, Drosophilidae. The transcript has 2 exons.
CUGUAAUUUUGCCUGCAGAUCGGUGACUUUUUGAUAUGUAUAGCACUGUGGACGGCAGUGCAUUUUGUCAUAUGGACAUACAAUUAUGAACCUAUCAUCGUCCGGUCUAAACGAGUUAUCGAAAGUAAUCAAAAUGUAAUAUUAAUUUUGAAAGUGUAAAGGUGUAAAUAUUAGAAAAUUUGAAUUUAUACACUUUUUUGGCAAAAGAGAGACAUAAGCACUGUAAGUAUAUGUAUGUGUAUCCUAUGUACAUUUGUAUAUCCGCAGACGAAAUACGUAUGUUUGUACUUGUGGCGGCUACAGACACAUUGAAAAAGACCGCACGAUUGCAAAUGGUUAACUCGCAAAGACAACGCUCCGAUAGAGACUGAAUCGAGCGGAGCAGAGCUGUAAACGUGUCUUAGACUAAACGUGGUCGAGAGAACUGAGAUACAGUUGGAGACAGAGAGAUCCGUUUAAAGCCAUGAGCAAGGCGAACAAAGAAACAGGUUAGACAUGCAGACAUGUUUCAAGACAUCGGGAAUCUAAGAAGUAUGUCGGCUAGAGAAGGGCGCAAGGAAAAUGGCAAAUACCGUCUGAGUACUAUUUACUAUUAUGAGUACUAUUUAAGCAAAAAAAUCGCUGGCAGAUACCCGCUUACUCAGCUAGAGGAAGUGCGGACGAGAAAUUUAAACAUUUUCUGGAAUAUCGAUAGAAAUUGGGAAACAGAAUAAUAAAAUGAAAAUAAACGUA